This 451-nucleotide ribosomal RNA is filed under the name uncultured bacterium. RNAcentral's name for it is "bacterial SSU rRNA". It matches the Rfam family "Bacterial small subunit ribosomal RNA", at positions 29 to 526 of the family's 1533-position model. The record is from RNAcentral.
AACGAACGCUGGCGGCAGGCCUAACACAUGCAAGUCGAGCGCACCCUUCGGGGCGAGCGGCGGACGGGUUAGUAACGCGUGGGAACGUACCCUUUUCUAUGGAAUAGCCUCGGGAAACUGAGAGUAAUACCAUAUAAGCCCUUCGGGGAAAGAUUUAUCGGGAAAGGAUCGGCCCGCGUUAGAUUAGAUAGUUGGUGGGGUAAUGGCCUACCAAGUCUACGAUCUAUAGCUGGUUUUAGAGGAUGAUCAGCAACACUGGGACUGAGACACGGCCCAGACUCCUACGGGAGGCAGCAGUGGGGAAUCUUAGACAAUGGGCGCAAGCCUGAUCUAGCCAUGCCGCGUGUGUGAUGAAAGGUCUUAGGAUCGUAAAGCACUUUCGCCAGGGAUGAUAAUGACAGUACCUGGUAAAGAAACCCGGCUAACUCCGUGCCAGCAGCCGCGGUAAAGU